Molecule: ribosomal RNA, 412 nt
Filed under: uncultured Methanosaeta sp.
Lineage: Archaea; Methanobacteriati; Methanobacteriota; Methanomicrobia; Methanotrichales; Methanotrichaceae
Description: bacterial SSU rRNA
Rfam family: Archaeal small subunit ribosomal RNA
Source: RNAcentral
UCGACCGGGGCGACAGCAAUAUGAAGGUCAGGCUGAAGACCUUACCCGAUUAGCUGAGAGGUGGUGCAUGGCCGUCGUCAGUUCGUACUGUGAAGCAUCCUGUUAAGUCAGGCAACGAGCGAGACCCACGUCCACAGUUGCCAGCAUACCCUCCGGGGUGAUGGGUACACUGUGGAGACCGCCGCUGCUAAAGCGGAGGAAGGAGUGGGCAACGGUAGGUCAGUAUGCCCCGAAUCUCCCGGGCUACACGCGGGCUACAAUGGUUGGUACAAUGGGCAUCUACCCCGAAAGGGGAAGGAAAUCUCUUAAAGCCAAUCGUAGUUCGGAUUGAGGGCUGCAACUCGCCCUCAUGAGGCUGGAAUCCGUAGUAAUCGCGUUUCAACAGAACGCGGUGAAUACGUCCCUGCUCCUU